UACAGAGGUCCCAAGCGUUAAUCGGAAUUACUGGGCGUAAAGCGUGCGUAGGCGGUUAUCUAAGUCGGAUGUGAAAGCCCCGGGCUCAACCUGGGAAUUGCAUUCGAGACUGAAUAGCUAGGGUACGGUAGAGGGAAGUGGAAUUUCCGGUGUAGCGGUGAAAUGCGUAGAUAUCGGAAGGAACAUCAGUGGCGAAAGCGACUUCCUGGACCAGUACCGACGUUCAGGCACGAAAGCGUGGGGAGCAAACAGG
Molecule: ribosomal RNA, 253 nt
Filed under: uncultured bacterium
Lineage: Bacteria
Description: partial 16S ribosomal RNA
Rfam family: Bacterial small subunit ribosomal RNA
Source: RNAcentral